AUUGAACGCUGGCGGCAUGCUUUACACAUGCAAGUCGAACGGCAGCGCGGGCUUCGGCCUGGCGGCGAGUGGCGAACGGGUGAGUAAUGCAUCGGAACGUGCCCAGUAGUGGGGGAUAGCCCGGCGAAAGCCGGAUUAAUACCGCAUACGACCUGAGGGUGAAAGCGGGGGACCGAAAGGCCUCGCGCUAUUGGAGCGGCCGAUGUCGGAUUAGCUAGUUGGUGGGGUAAAGGCUUACCAAGGCGACGAUCCGUAGCUGGUCUGAGAGGACGACCAGCCACACUGGGACUGAGACACGGCCCAGACUCCUACGGGAGGCAGCAGUGGGGAAUUUUGGACAAUGGGGGCAACCCUGAUCCAGCCAUGCCGCGUGCGGGAAGAAGGCCUUCGGGUUGUAAACCGCUUUUGUUCGGGAAGAAAUCCCCUGGGCUAAUACCCCGGGGGGAUGACGGUACCGGAAGAAUAAGCACCGGCUAACUACGUG
RNAcentral lists this ribosomal RNA (484 nucleotides) under uncultured bacterium. RNAcentral describes it as "partial 16S ribosomal RNA". It matches the Rfam family "Bacterial small subunit ribosomal RNA", at positions 28 to 507 of the family's 1533-position model. The record is from RNAcentral.